Molecule: long non-coding RNA, 1069 nt
Filed under: Marmota monax (woodchuck)
Lineage: Eukaryota; Metazoa; Chordata; Mammalia; Rodentia; Sciuridae
Source: RNAcentral
GACGGUUGGUGGGCUUCUCAUGUUCUCCACUUGGGAAAUGCAAAUGACCCACUUUUCCAGUGCUGAGACCAUGGUUCAGACCACAUGAAGAAUUCGGUCAAGAGCCAUUUGUUGGGCUGGGGCUGGGCUCAGUGGUACAGCGCUUGCCUAGCAUGCGUGAGGCCCUGGGUUCAAUCCUUAGCACCACAUAAAAAUAAAAUAAAGGUAUUGUGUCCACCUACAACUGAAAAAUACAUACUAAAAAGCCAUUUGUUAUUCACUUAUAUGUGAAUAGUUCCAUUGCACCUCUUAAGGACCCAUGCCCACCCUGGCUGUGGGAGCACCAAGAUGAUCCCACUCUCAGGACUCUCCCAGUCUACUUAACCUUGUAGGUGCAUUCACACACAUCAACUUCACUUUAGAGAAUGAGGUCAGCCCAUUGUCAGAGAACCUACCAUUCCCAGAAAUAACUAGAGGUUCACCAAUCCCUAGGUGCCCUGGGAACAAUUCAUUUCUUCAGCUGGCCUCUCUCAUUUUCUGGGUACAAUUUACAGGCAGUGAAAUGCACAGAUUUUAAGGAGAGGAGUCUUUCCAUCUUGAUGGAAACACAUAGAACAUUCCCACCACCCCAGAAAGUUCCUUCAUGCCCUUUCCCAGUAAAACCCGCUCCCAGGAAGCAAACCUCUGCUCUGAUUUCUCACAAGUGACUUCGCCUGUUCUAGAACUUGACAUAUGUGGAGUCGCGCAGAUGAAGGCUUUUGUGUCUGGUUUCUUUUGCUCAGCAUGAUUUUUUUUUAGAUCUGCUUAUGUUGUGUGUAUCGCUAAUCUGUUUAUUUUUAUUGCAGAGUUGUAUUCCACUGUAUAAAUAGACCAAGAGUUUUACCCAUUCUCCUGCUAAUGAAUAUUUUUGAGCUGUUUCCAGUUUUAGGCUAUUGUGAUUAAAGCUGGUAUGAAUAUUUUUGUAAAAGAUUUUUGUGGAUAUAUGUUUUCAUUUCUCUCAUAUAAAUACCAAGAAAUAGAAUUACUAAGUCAUAAGAUAGAUGCAUAUUUAACUCUUUACAAAACUGCCAAACCCUUUUCCAAAGUGGCC